Betta splendens (Siamese fighting fish) is the source of this 326-nucleotide long non-coding RNA. RefSeq lists it as uncharacterized. Lineage: Eukaryota; Metazoa; Chordata; Actinopteri; Anabantiformes; Osphronemidae. The record is from RefSeq and is a predicted model, not a curated record. The transcript has 3 exons.
GCCAAGAGGCCAAGGAAAUCAGCCACGUACUAAUGGCUGACAAACACCUUUCUUGUAGCAGCCUCUGUGUCGACGUGUGGAGAUGCUGAAAAAUGAUGCGCGGUGGCAGAAGGCGCGGUGCCGAACAGGUGGAGAUAUUGCCGGCGAAAAGUGAGAGGAAGUGCUGAAAGGGAGAAAUAAAACAGGACAGAUGCCGCAGAUGUGGCCCGUCGGUGAUGCAAUCCAGCGUGGAAGUGAAGUAACUCUGGCCAUAGCAGCCGACGCUGCAAACUUCAUGCACUGACUGUACACGAGGCUGUGGAAAUGUCAGAAUAAAGUUGUUCUGU